GAUGAACGCUGGCGGCGUGCCUAAUACAUGCAAGUCGAGCGGUAAGGCUCCUUCGGGAGUACACGAGCGGCGGACGGGUGAGUAAUACGUAGGAACGUACCCCAAAGUGAGGAAUAACCAGCCGAAAGGUUGGCUAAUACCGCAUAUGCUCUACGGAGUAAAGCAGCAAUGCGCUUUGGGAACGGCCUGCGUCCGAUUAGCUAGUUGGUAAGGUAGAGGCUUACCAAGGCGACGAUCGGUAGCUGUUCUGAGAGGAUGAUCAGCCACACUGGAACUGAGACACGGUCCAGACUCCUACGGGAGGCAGCAGUAGGGAAUUUUCCACAAUGGGCGAAAGCCUGAUGGAGCAACGCCGCGUGCAGGAUGAAGGCCUUAGGGUUGUAAACUGCUUUUAUCUGUGACGAUUAUGACAGUAGCAGAUGAAUAGGGAUCGGCUAACUCCGUGCCAGCCGCCGCCGUAA
Molecule: ribosomal RNA, 461 nt
Filed under: uncultured bacterium
Lineage: Bacteria
Description: partial 16S ribosomal RNA
Rfam family: Bacterial small subunit ribosomal RNA
Source: RNAcentral